GACGAACGCUGGCGGCGUGCCUAAUACAUGCAAGUAGAACGCUGAAGGAGGAGCUUGCUCUUCUGGAUGAGUUGCGAACGGGUGAGUAACGCGUAGGUAACCUGCCUGGUAGCGGGGGAUAACUAUUGGAAACGAUAGCUAAUACCGCAUAACAGUAGAUGUUGCAUGACAUUUGCUUAAAAGGUUCAAUUGCACCACUACCAGAUGGACCUGCGUUGUAUUAGCUAGUUGGUGGGGUAACGGCUCACCAAGGCGACGAUACAUAGCCGACCUGAGAGGGGAAGCUGCAAAGCUGGGAUGGGAAGAUGGCCAAGAACCCUGCGGGUGGGAGAAGUAGCGGAUUCUUGGGAAAGGAAGGAAGUGUGAAUGAUGAACGAUGGGCGAGUGCAUGAGGUUGCCGGGCCGUGAAGGUGAGGUAUACGUGAGGGAUGUAAGGCACAGUUGAAAGUGAACAUUGUGACGGUACCUGAAGAAAAAGCGACGGCUAACUCCGUG
This 495-nucleotide ribosomal RNA is filed under the name uncultured bacterium. RNAcentral describes it as "partial 16S ribosomal RNA". It matches the Rfam family "Bacterial small subunit ribosomal RNA", at positions 28 to 507 of the family's 1533-position model. The record is from RNAcentral.